This 1115-nucleotide ribosomal RNA is filed under the name uncultured bacterium. Its description in RNAcentral is "bacterial SSU rRNA". It matches the Rfam family "Bacterial small subunit ribosomal RNA", at positions 234 to 1341 of the family's 1533-position model. The record is from RNAcentral.
CGCCGUAUUAGCUAGUUGGUAAGGUAACGGCUUACCAAGGCAACGAUACGUAGCCGACCUGAGAGGGUGAUCGGCCACACUGGAACUGAGACACGGUCCANACUCCUACGGGAGGCAGCAGUAGGGAAUCUUCCGCAAUGGACGAAAGUCUGACGGAGCAACGCCGCGUGAGUGAUGAAGGUUUUCGGAUCGUAAAACUCUGUUAUUAGGGAAGAACAAAUGUGUAAGUAACUGUGCACAUCUUGACGGUACCUAAUCAGAAAGCCACGGCUAACUACGUGCCAGCAGCCGCGGUAAUACGUAGGUGGCAAGCGUUAUCCGGAAUUAUUGNGCGUAAAGCGCGCGUAGGCGGUUUCUUAAGUCUGAUGUGAAAGCCCACGGCUCAACCGUGGAGGGUCAUUGGAAACUGGGAAACUUGAGUACAGAAGAGGAAAGUGGAAUUCCAUGUGUAGCGGUGAAAUGCGCAGAGAUAUGGAGGAACACCAGUGGCGAAGGCGACUUUCUGGUCUGUAACUGACGCUGAUGUGCGAAAGCGUGGGGAUCAAACAGGAUUAGAUACCCUGGUAGUCCACGCCGUAAACGAUGAGUGCUAAGUGUUAGGGGGUUUCCGCCCCUUAGUGCUGCAGCUAACGCAUUAAGCACUCCGCCUGGGGAGUACGACCGCAAGGUUGAAACUCAAAGGAAUUGACGGGGACCCGCACAAGCGGUGGAGCAUGUGGCUUAAUUCGAAGCAACGCGAAGAACCUUACCAAAUCUUGACAUCCUUUGAAAACUCUAGAGAUAGAGCUUUCCCCUUCGGGGGACAAAGUGACAGGUGGUGCAUGGUUGUCGUCAGCUCGUGUCGUGAGAUGUUGGGUUAAGUCCCGCAACGAGCGCAACCCUUAAACUUAGUUGCCAGCAUUUAGUUGGGCACUCUAGGUUGACUGCCGGUGACAAACCGGAGGAAGGUGGGGAUGACGUCAAAUCAUCAUGCCCCUUAUGAUUUGGGCUACACACGUGCUACAAUGGACAAUACAAAGGGCAGCUAAACCGCGAGGUCAUGCAAAUCCCAUAAAGUUGUUCUCAGUUCGGANNGUAGUCUGCAACUCGACUACAUGAAGCGGAAUCGCUAGAAU